Molecule: ribosomal RNA, 524 nt
Filed under: uncultured bacterium
Lineage: Bacteria
Description: partial 16S ribosomal RNA
Rfam family: Bacterial small subunit ribosomal RNA
Source: RNAcentral
GACGAACGCUGGCGGCGUGCCUAAUACAUGCAAGUCGAGCGCAGGAAAUCAUCCGAACCCUUCGGGGGGACGUUGAUGGAAUGAGCGGCGGACGGGUGAGUAACACGUAAAGAACCUGCCCUCAGGUCUGGGAUAACCACAAGAAAUCGGGGCUAAUACCGGAUGGGUCAUCGGACCGCAUGGUCCGAGGAUGAAAGGCGCUUCGGCGUCGCCUGGGGAUGGCUUUGCGGUGCAUUAGCUAGUUGGUGGGGUAAUGGCCCACCAAGGCGACGAUGCAUAGCCGACCUGAGAGGGUGAUCGGCCACACGGGGACUGAGACACGGCCCAGACUCCUACGGGAGGCAGCAGUAGGGUAUCUUCCACAAUGGACGAAAGUCUGAUGGAGCAACGCCGCGUGAGCGAUGAAGGCCUUCGGGUCGUAAAGUUCUGUUGUAAGGGAAGAACGAGUGCCGCAGGCAAUGGCGGCACCUUGACGGUACCUUGCGAGAAAGCCACGGCUAACUACGUGCCAGCAGCCGCAGUAA